RNAcentral lists this ribosomal RNA (700 nucleotides) under uncultured bacterium. RNAcentral describes it as "bacterial SSU rRNA". It matches the Rfam family "Bacterial small subunit ribosomal RNA", at positions 77 to 770 of the family's 1533-position model. The record is from RNAcentral.
AGCUUGCUGCUUUGCUGACGAGUGGCGGACGGGUGAGUAAUGUCUGGGAAACUGCCCGAUGGAGGGGGAUAACUACUGGAAACGGUAGCUAAUACCGCAUAACGUCGCAAGACCAAAGAGGGGGACCUUCGGGCCUCUUGCCAUCGGAUGUGCCCAGAUGGGAUUAGCUAGUAGGUGGGGUAAAGGCUCACCUAGGCGACGAUCCCUAGCUGGUCUGAGAGGAUGACCAGCCACACUGGAACUGAGACACGGUCCAGACUCCUACGGGAGGCAGCAGUGGGGAAUAUUGCACAAUGGGCGCAAGCCUGAUGCAGCCAUACCGCGUGGGUGAAGAAGGCCUUCGGGUUGUAAAGCCCUUUUGUUGGGAAAGAAAUCCAGCUGGCUAAUACCCGGUUGGGAUGACGGUACCCAAAGAAUAAGCACCGGCUAACUUCGUGCCAGCAGCCGCGGUAAUACGAAGGGUGCAAGCGUUACUCGGAAUUACUGGGCGUAAAGCGUGCGUAGGUGGUCGUUUAAGUCCGUUGUGAAAGCCCUGGGCUCAACCUGGGAACUGCGAUGGAAACUGGGCGACUAGAGUGUGGUAGAGGGUAGCGGAAUUCCUGGUGUAGCAGUGAAAUGCGUAGAUAUCAGGAGGAACAUCCAUGGCGAAGGCAGCUACCUGGGCCAACACUGACACUGAGGCACGAAAGCGUGGGGAGCA